Pseudopipra pipra is the source of this 2757-nucleotide long non-coding RNA. RefSeq lists it as uncharacterized. Lineage: Eukaryota; Metazoa; Chordata; Aves; Passeriformes; Pipridae. The record is from RefSeq and is a predicted model, not a curated record. The transcript is spliced from 3 exons.
CAGAGACCUCCACACCUCGUCCAGCAGGAACACAAGUGGGGCCAAAGCCCCGCCGAGGCGUGCCACAAAGGAGGUGUACCCCAUCCCAUUCUGCCUGGAAAGAAUACAUAAAAAAGUCAAGCACGGAAAAGUGAACCCUGCCCAUAAGGAAGAAGAGAGUGCUUAUUCACAAAGGCUUUUGGCAACUGAUUGAGGACACUGUAACAACACUUGGCAAAUACUACAGCGACCAAGAAGGCAAACACUAAGUUGGACUAGUUCCUUGUGCAACUGCACAGUCUCCUGUCUGCUAUGGGAGUGAUGCCUCUGCCUUAUUUUCUCAGGCUGCGCUUCUCUCUCACUGUGUAUUUAGUCCAGUGGCCAGUCCACUGAGGCCUCUUGUCAUGGCAAUAAUGAGUGGAAAGACACUCCACCUAAUGAAAGAGAUUUCUGGUCUUAUGGGAUCUGGGCUGCUGUUUUAUCUUUAGGAGUGAAUGUAGCUGCUUUCUAGAAUAAAAAAGGAGCAUGGCACCCUGUGGACCACAGUGCCCCACAGAACACACUGCAGACUGAGCAUUGAUUCAGAUAUCAAAUGGAAGUAAAAUAUAUAGAGAGAAAGUGGGAAAGGAAGAACAUGUGUCUGGAUCUUCAGUUUCUUACCUCUGGUGAGAGAGCAAAAUCUUUCCUUCUGUUCAUUCUUGCACAUCUAAGCAGAUGUCUGUGAGCUUGCUUCACUUUGCCUUUGGCUAUGAGCCACCGGGCAGACUCUGGGACCCACCUGAUGCAAGGAGAGAAGACAGUGUUCCUUCAUGUUUUCCACCCCACAUUCAUGGCCCUGGCAUCUUUAUGAGACUGCAACCUCAGCUGAAAAUAGCAACUAUGGUGCAUGAGAAUAAGAGUAAUGGGACACCCUUUUUACACCUAUAUGCUCUUCUACCCCUAAAGGAGUGCAGUCUGCUAAUUGAUGUAUGGCUAGCCAAAAUUUUAAUCAUGUGAUCUUUGAGCAAAGCUUGAAUUUUCUGAGCUGGUUGAAGUUCCAAACUUUUAUCAAUUAAAAUUGGCCCCAGAGAGUUUACAUAUUUGUGCUUUUUGUGACUUUUUAAACUUUGAAAUUGUGAGAUAUUAAAAAUUACAAUGAAUUAGUAAGCUCUAUACUUACUUUGUUAGUUAAUUAAAUUAUUUGUUUUUCACAAUAAUCAAAGCCUCCUGCACAAGACAGUCAACUGAGUCUAAAUCAUUGAGGUUGCAGCCCUCAAUGACGUGCCCAUGCCAGUCACUGAGUGACCAGGGAUGCUGUACUGUAUAGAGCUAAUUAGCUCACAGGAGUCCUGUGAUUCUUAUUUUUCUGUUCCAGCAAAAGAUCCAGCACUUGUCUUAAACUAGCAUCUGCAACUCCCUCUCCUUGGACUUCUCUCUAAUCUUGCAUCUGCCUGCAAUUCAUGGCUUCAAGCCCCAGAGCUUCCCAGGCCACAGUGCAGCCCAUGUGGCCUAGGGGGUACAUGGUGUUUUGUGGGUGCCCAUAGCAGUCAGGGUCCAGCAGACGUGAAAUAGCCCAAAGUGUCCAAGUCCUGCUAGAGCCAACACCUACCUCCUAUCACCCAAAUCUGUACCUGGAAAGAAAUAAAAACCAGAAACUGCCAUUCUCAUGGAGACUUUCAGCUGAGCAUUCUGUGCAGCCAGUGGGAAGAUUUACAACCCUGAAGAACUGUGGGUUUGAGGUCUACUGAGGUCACACAGUUGUCAGUCUCUCAUUGGAGUCUCCCACUAGAAUGUCUGAGACCAGAUCCCUGUAAGCUGUUCGUGAUUCAUGUGACCUAAAUCAGAUUACGACAAAACUAGUGAACAACCUUGGGAAAUAUAAAGAAGGAAAGAUGGCAUUUUGUGCUCAUUGCCACUGUCUCUAGGGUGUAAUAUUAUGUCUUUUGGUUGUCUAAUGUCUCCACUGGGUUCUGACAUUGUGUCAAUAGUAUCUACAGAGUGCUAAAUUAGAUUUUAAUUCUAUAUUUCAGGGAGUUUUAAUUAUCUGCCAGUCACUGGCCUUUUGGGUGUUUCGAGUUUGAUCAGACUAUAGUAUAGUUUGUUGGAGAACUAAUCUCUGUAAAAGAUACAGUAAGAGAAAAAAACCAAACAGCUGUCAUGGAAAGGGUGGGUCCAAAUGUAUCUGUGAAUUUCAGCACUUCCAAGGACUCAGGUUUUUUUGGCUGGUUGUCCUAGAAAGCAAGCAAAACAGCUCAAACUAAAAAAGUCAGCAGAACACAUAUUUUAGUUGUGUUGGACUUGAUCAGUGAAAGAUCAAAUGUUACUCUUUGCCAGAAAGCCAGUACAUCUUUCUUUAGCCAUUGAAUAACAACAGCAUCAGUUUAUAUUCCAUUUUUAGUAAGGAUUAUUUGAGAUUUUUGUACUAGAUCUGUGCAGCUAUUUAAUCUAGUGCUUCAUGCUGAUGGACAGAUGCAGUAAGCAAGCAAACCAUAGUCUUCAGAAGCAUCCUUGAUAGCAGCUGAAAGGCACUUCAGGAUUUGGAUAUCACUCUUUUUGUUCAGUGAUUAUCCACAUAAUUUUUGGACCCAUGUGUCUAAAAUCAGAACUUAUUCUGCAUGGUUUCCAGCGAGAGCUUCCCAUCCCCCUGAGGGACACAUCUGUGACUUCUGCAGUGUGAUCCAGCACUGUGCCGUUGUCCAAAAGGAACUAAACAACCACCCUAAGGUGAAGGAGACUCACCUCCUCGUUACUGAAUGCUUUCAGUAGGGCAGUUGUGGGAAUACCUGCUUGCUUAUUUGA